RNAcentral lists this ribosomal RNA (460 nucleotides) under uncultured bacterium. RNAcentral describes it as "partial 16S ribosomal RNA". It matches the Rfam family "Bacterial small subunit ribosomal RNA", at positions 338 to 795 of the family's 1533-position model. The record is from RNAcentral.
CCUACGGGAGGCAGCAGUGAGGAAUAUUGGUCAAUGGCCGGAAGUCUGAACCAGCCAUGCCGCGUGCGGGAUGACGGCUCUACGAGUUGUAAACUGCUUUUGUACGAGAAUAAUAGUUCUUACGCGUAGGGAUUUGAGUGUACCGUACGAAUAAGCAUCGGCUAACUCCGUGCCAGCAGCCGCGGUAAUACGGAGGAUGCGAGCGUUAUCCGGAUUUAUUGGGUGUAAAGGGUGCGUAGGCGGUCGGAUAAGUUAGAGGUGAAAUGUCGGGGCUUAACCCCGGGACUGCUUCUGUGACGGUUCGACUAGAGAGCGGAUGCGGCAGGCGGAAUGAGUAGUGUAGCGGUGAAAUGCGUAGAUAUUACGCAGAACACCGAUGGCGCAGGCAGCUUGCUAAUCCGCAUCUGACGCUGAUGCACGAAAGCGUGGGGAGCGAACAGGAUUAGAUACCCUGGUAGUC